Molecule: ribosomal RNA, 490 nt
Filed under: uncultured bacterium
Lineage: Bacteria
Description: partial 16S ribosomal RNA
Rfam family: Bacterial small subunit ribosomal RNA
Source: RNAcentral
AUUGAACGCUGGCGGCAGGCCUAACACAUGCAAGUCGAACGGUAACAGGAAGCAGCUUGCUGCUUUGCUGACGAGUGGCGGACGGGUGAGUAAUGUCUGGGAAACUGCCUGAUGGAGGGGGAUAACUACUGGAAACGGUAGCUAAUACCGCAUAACGUCGCAGGACCAAAGAGGGGGACCUUCGGGCCUCUUGCCAUCGGAUGUGCCCAGAUGGGAUUAGCUAGUAGGUGGGGUAACGGCUCACCUAGGCGACGAUCCCUAGCUGGUCUGAGAGGAUGACCAGCCACACUGGAACUGAGACACGGUCCAGACUCCUACGGGAGGCAGCAGUGGGGAAUAUUGCACAAUGGGCGCAAGCCUGAUGCAGCCAUGCCGCGUGUAUGAAGAAGGCCUUCGGGUUGUAAAGUACUUUCAGCGGGGAGGAAGGGAGUAAAGUUAAUACCUUUGCUCAUUGACGUUACCCGCAGAAGAAGCACCGGCUAACUCCGUG